RNAcentral lists this ribosomal RNA (465 nucleotides) under Vreelandella stevensii. Its description in RNAcentral is "partial 16S ribosomal RNA". It matches the Rfam family "Bacterial small subunit ribosomal RNA", at positions 338 to 795 of the family's 1533-position model. Lineage: Bacteria; Pseudomonadati; Pseudomonadota; Gammaproteobacteria; Oceanospirillales; Halomonadaceae. The record is from RNAcentral.
CCUACGGGAGACAGCAGUGGGGAAUAUUGGACAAUGGGGGCAACCCUGAUCCAGCCAUGCCGCGUGUGUGAAGAAGGCCCUCGGGUUGUAAAGCACUUUCAGUGAGGAAGAACGCCUGGUGGUUAAUACCCAUCAGGAAAGACAUCACUCACAGAAGAAGCACCGGCUAACUCCGUGCCAGCAGCCGCGGUAAUACGGAGGGUGCGAGCGUUAAUCGGAAUUACUGGGCGUAAAGCGCGCGUAGGUGGCUUGAUAAGCCGGUUGUGAAAGCCCCGGGCUCAACCUGGGAACGGCAUCCGGAACUGUCAAGCUAGAGUGCAGGAGAGGAAGGUAGAAUUCCCGGUGUAGCGGUGAAAUGCGUAGAGAUCGGGAGGAAUACCAGUGGCGAAGGCGGCCUUCUGGACUGACACUGACACUGAGGUGCGAAAGCGUGGGUAGCAAACAGGAUUAGAUACCCGUGUAGUC